UCCUUCUAUACAUCAUAUAAGAAACUUUUACCUGUAAAGAUCAUGUGCAAAGGGGAAUCAUAUGUACCCUAUGCCAGGUGGAUGUUCAUGUCUCUAUAAGUGUGGUUGUUAAUAAGUGGAAGGAUGAGAACGAUAAACUCAUGACUUUUAGGCAGUGGCUUGAUUUCUGCAGGGUAGAGAAUUCCACAAGGAUAUCCUGGGACUUGGGAGAAUAACCGGUCAAGAUUUUUUCCAUUCCUCCAUUUUUUUAUAGAGUCAAGACUCGGUUCUCUAAUUGAGCUGGAAAGGAAUUAAGCUGAGGUUAUGUUUACAAUUCCCAUCACAUCUCUCCCGCUUAUGGAUUGUUUGAUUGUGAGUGCCAGUGUUUGGUUGUUAUGUUUAUUUCAUUGUAUUAACCUAUAGCUUCAAUCUGCACUUGGCGGUAUAUAUUAUCAAGGUUUACAAGCCACUCUUAUGCCUUCAACAACUGUGGCUUUUUA
Papaver somniferum (opium poppy) is the source of this 479-nucleotide long non-coding RNA. RefSeq lists it as uncharacterized. The record is from RefSeq and is a predicted model, not a curated record. The transcript is spliced from 2 exons. Lineage: Eukaryota; Viridiplantae; Streptophyta; Magnoliopsida; Ranunculales; Papaveraceae.